Daphnia pulicaria is the source of this 448-nucleotide long non-coding RNA. RefSeq lists it as uncharacterized. The transcript is spliced from 3 exons. NCBI's taxonomy places the organism in Eukaryota, Metazoa, Arthropoda, Branchiopoda, Diplostraca, Daphniidae. The record is from RefSeq and is a predicted model, not a curated record.
CAAAAAUAACGAAACUUUUGGGAUUGCAACAAUGGAAAAUCAAGUACAAUAUGAAAAAAGCUGGAUUAAGAUCACGAAAAUUUUCCGAAAUAACAAACUCGCAUUUAGAUUGCAUAGUCCGUGGUAUAAUCAGGCUGUUUCCCGACUCUGGAUUCAAAAACUUUGUUGGGAAAUACAAAAUCAGUGGGCCAAAAGUUAGUCUACACAGAUCGAGAGAAUCAUUUUGUAGAGUGAAGGACUUACGGAGGGAUCCUCCAAGAAGGACAAUCAAGAGGAGGGUAUAGAGCGUGAAACAUCUUCUCUCUCUUUGAUGGAAGUUUUACGUCCAAGGUUGCGUUGAUGGAUAUUCGAGGUUAAUGGUGGUUCUUAACUUAUCAUCCAACAAUCGAGCUGCAACAACCUUAAACCUUUUUUCUGGCGCUGUUGUGAAAUGGGGUUUACCAUUACG